GACGAACGCUGGCGGCGUGCUUAAUACAUGCAAGUCGAACGCAUUUUCUUUCACCGUAGCUUGUUCCCCCGACAGAAAAUGAGUGGCGACCGGGUGAGUACCACGUCGGUAACCUGCCCAUCCGCGGGGGAACACACUUGGAUACCGGUGCUAAUCCCGCAUAAUUUCAUUUACCGCAUGGAAGAUAGAUGAAUGGCGCUUUAGCGUCACUGUUGGAUGGACCUGCGGUGCAUUGGCCAGGUGGUGGGGUAACCGACUACCAGGGCUGCGAUGCAGAGCCGACCGGAUAGGGUGGGCGGCCACACUGAGACGGAGACACGGCCCAGACGCCUACAGGAGGCAGCAGGAGGGAAACGGCGGGAAGGGACGCAAGACAGACCGAGCAACGCCGCGGGAGUGAAGAAGGUUGUCGGAUCGUAAAACACGGUUGUUAGAGAAGAACAAGGAUGAGAGUGGAAAGAUCAGCGCGUGACGGUAACUAACCAAGAAGCCACGGCUAACUACGUG
This 507-nucleotide ribosomal RNA is filed under the name uncultured bacterium. Its description in RNAcentral is "partial 16S ribosomal RNA". It matches the Rfam family "Bacterial small subunit ribosomal RNA", at positions 28 to 507 of the family's 1533-position model. The record is from RNAcentral.